AGAGUUUGAUCAUGGCUCAGGAUGAACGCUGGCGGCGUGCCUAAUACAUGCAAGUCGAACGAGGCCCUUUGUAUUCGUACGAAGGUGUCCUAGUGGCGAACGGGUGAGUAACACGUAGGUGACCUACCCCGAAGCGGGGGACAACUCCGGGAAACUGGAGCUAAUACCCCAUGUUCUCCAUGGUGUUAGAGGACCAUGGAGCAAAGGAGCAAUCCGCUUUGGGAGGGGCCUGCGGCCCAUCAGCUAGUUGGUAGGGUAAUGGCCUACCAAGGCUAUGACGGGUAGGGGACCUGAGAGGGUGGUCCCCCACACUGGAACUGAAACACGGACCAGACACCUACGGGUGGCAGCAGUAGGGAAUAUUGCACAAUGGGCGAAAGCCUGAUGCAGCAACACCGCGUGCGCGAUGAAGGCCUUCGGGUUGUAAAGCGCUUUUCUGGGGGAAGAGGAAGGACGG
Molecule: ribosomal RNA, 457 nt
Filed under: uncultured bacterium
Lineage: Bacteria
Description: bacterial SSU rRNA
Rfam family: Bacterial small subunit ribosomal RNA
Source: RNAcentral